Molecule: ribosomal RNA, 466 nt
Filed under: uncultured bacterium
Lineage: Bacteria
Description: partial 16S ribosomal RNA
Rfam family: Bacterial small subunit ribosomal RNA
Source: RNAcentral
GAUGAACGCUGGCGGCGUGCUUAACACAUGCAAGUCGAACGAUGAAGCCCAGCUUGCUGGGUGGAUUAGUGGCGAACGGGUGAGUAACACGUGAGUAACCUGCCCUUAACUCUGGGAUAAGCCUGGGAAACUGGGUCUAAUACCGGAUAGGAGCGCCUACCGCAUGGUGGGUGUUGGAAAGAUUUAUCGGUUUUGGAUGGACUCGCGGCCUAUCAGCUUGUUGGUGAGGUAAUGGCUCACCAAGGCGACGACGGGUAGCCGGCCUGAGAGGGUGACCGGCCACACUGGGACUGAGACACGGCCCAGACUCCUACGGGAGGCAGCAGUGGGGAAUAUUGCACAAUGGGCGAAAGCCUGAUGCAGCGACGCCGCGUGAGGGAUGACGGCCUUCAGGUUGUAAACCUCUUUCAGUAGGGAAGAAGCGAAAGUGACGGUACCUGCAGAAGAAGCACCGGCUAACUACGUG